This 481-nucleotide ribosomal RNA is filed under the name uncultured Pelagibacterales bacterium. RNAcentral's name for it is "bacterial SSU rRNA". It matches the Rfam family "Bacterial small subunit ribosomal RNA", at positions 389 to 890 of the family's 1533-position model. The record is from RNAcentral. Lineage: Bacteria; Pseudomonadati; Pseudomonadota; Alphaproteobacteria; Candidatus Pelagibacterales.
CAGCGAUGCCGCGUGAGUGAAGAAGGCCUUUGGGUUGUAAAGCUCUUUCGUCGGGGAAGAAAAUGACUGUACCCGAAUAAGAAGGUCCGGCUAACUUCGUGCCAGCAGCCGCGGUAAUACGAAGGGACCUAGCGUAGUUCGGAAUUACUGGGCUUAAAGAGUUCGUAGGUGGUUAAAAAAGUUGGUGGUGAAAUCCCAGAGCUUAACUCUGGAACUGCCAUCAAAACUUUUUAGCUAGAGUAUGAUAGAGGAAAGCAGAAUUUCUAGUGUAGAGGUGAAAUUCGUAGAUAUUAGAAAGAAUACCAAUUGCGAAGGCAGCUUUCUGGAUCAUUACUGACACUGAGGAACGAAAGCAUGGGUAGCGAAGAGGAUUAGAUACCCUCGUAGUCCAUGCCGUAAACGAUGUGUGUUAGACGUUGGAAAUUUAUUUUCAGUGUCGCAGCGAAAGCCAUAAACACACCGCCUGGGGAGUACGACCGCA